UUCAGAGUUCUACAGUCCCAAUCAAGAGCUAACAAGUGACUAUGGGAGGGGAGUUGAAAAAGUAUAAAAGUUGCUGUUUGUUUUUAUUGGGCUUG
Lepidothrix coronata (blue-crowned manakin) is the source of this 95-nucleotide long non-coding RNA. RefSeq lists it as uncharacterized. The transcript has 3 exons. The record is from RefSeq and is a predicted model, not a curated record. NCBI's taxonomy places the organism in Eukaryota, Metazoa, Chordata, Aves, Passeriformes, Pipridae.